UGCCGGCGACCGGCGCACGGGUGAGUAACACGUAUGCGACCUGCCCCCGCAGGGGAUAACCGGGAGAAAUCCCGACUAAUACCGCGUAACGCCGCGGACCUGCAUGGGUCUGCGGCCAAAGGAAGCGAUUCCGGCGGGGGAUGGGCAUGCGGCGCAUUAGCUAGUCGGCGGGGUAACGGCCCACCGAGGCGACGAUGCGUAGGGGUUCUGAGAGGAAGGUCCCCCACACUGGUACUGAGACACGGACCAGACUCCUACGGGAGGCAGCAG
RNAcentral lists this ribosomal RNA (270 nucleotides) under uncultured bacterium. RNAcentral's name for it is "partial 16S ribosomal RNA". It matches the Rfam family "Bacterial small subunit ribosomal RNA", at positions 86 to 354 of the family's 1533-position model. The record is from RNAcentral.